This 253-nucleotide ribosomal RNA is filed under the name uncultured bacterium. RNAcentral describes it as "partial 16S ribosomal RNA". It matches the Rfam family "Bacterial small subunit ribosomal RNA", at positions 524 to 776 of the family's 1533-position model. The record is from RNAcentral.
UACGUAGGGUGCAGGCGUUAAUCGGAAUUACUGGGCGUAAAGCGUGCGCAGGCGGCUCUUUAAGUCAGAUGUGAAAGCCCCGGGCUUAACCUGGGAAUUGCGUUUGAAACUGGAGAGCUGGAGUGUGGAAGAGGGGGGUGGAAUUCCUGGUGUAGCGGUGAAAUGCGCAGAUAUCAGGAGGAACACCAAUGGCGAAGGCAGCUCGCUGGGACGGUACUGACGCUGAGGCGCGAAAGCGUGGGGAGCAAACAGG